UACGUAGGGGGCAAGCGUUAUCCGGAUUUACUGGGUGUAAAGGGAGCGUAGACGGCAACGCAAGUCUGGAGUGAAAUCCCAUGGCUUAACCAUGGAACUGCUUUGGAAACCGUGCAGCUGGAGUGCAGGAGAGGUAAGCGGAAUUCCUAGUGUAGCGGUGAAAUGCGUAGAUAUUAGGAGGAACACCAGUGGCGAAGGCGGCUUACUGGACUGUAACUGACGUUGAGGCUCGAAAGCGUGGGGAGCAAACAGG
This 253-nucleotide ribosomal RNA is filed under the name uncultured bacterium. Its description in RNAcentral is "partial 16S ribosomal RNA". It matches the Rfam family "Bacterial small subunit ribosomal RNA", at positions 524 to 776 of the family's 1533-position model. The record is from RNAcentral.